GUUUUAAAAGAAACAUGUUAGCUAGUGUACUAAGAAGAAAAAGACAAAACGAAUUAGAUUUGAAAAAUCCAGCUUUAUGAUGUUCAAACCCAGUUAUGAUAUUAUAUAAUUUUGAAUUCUCAACGGUGUUGCGAGGAAGGACGUCAAUUGAAGAACAUCACUACAGUUGGGACCCAAUUGAAUGUUGGUCAAGUAAUUAGCGACAUGUUCUGGUCACAGUCUACGCGUUGAAUACAUCAAAAAGAUCGUGUCCCUGGAGUGCACCCAAAGAAAGAGGUUUCAAGAUACACAAAUUGUUUGCCCCAAUAGACUUAAAAACCAAUAGCUGGUGCACUGUAUGAUUUGAAAGAAAUCAGGGCAAAUUCAAGGCAGGCAAUAAACAUUGCAAAUCCUGGUGGCUUAAUACUGAUUGGAAUUAAAAUAGGUAAACAGAUAAACUAAGAAGUCUAUAGCCAAUGCUACGUUGAGGCGCUCCCAGCUACAGCUGUGGCAACAAGAAAUUGUACGCAGGACCUUUUAUUUUCGCUGGCGAACAGCGUAAUGAUGAAAAAGUUUGCGGGUGAUAAUAUUGCAACGUGUGCGUCCAGAAGAAAAGAGAAGAUUCCAUACCCUUGUCUAGGGUUACUUUGGUUUGACCCAGAGACCCAAUGGCCACAUUUCGAAGACUGCAAUGGUCAAUAGUGAAUCACAGCAAUUGGCGCAUCAUGGAGGGAUAAGUGCGGCCAGACAGCAACCGUUCUAGAGUGCUGUGGAACGAUGUCUCUGCUUGAUAAAAAGGCUUGGAAGCACUGAUCAAGCCUGGCAGCGAAUUUUAUACAAAUUGAUGAACACAAGAAUGUAAUGAGCACGCAUGCUCCAUCAAGUAAGCUGAAAAACAUUUCAAAAAAGUAACCAGUAAGAAUAAGCAGCUCAUUGUAUGCAAUAUGAGCAGCUGCAAGGCCUCUCAAGCUAUAGGGGCUUACCACCUUUGGCAGCUAUGUGAUGCAGAAAAAAUACAUUCAAGCCAAACAAGCAAAAAGCAGUAUAUUUUCUCAAAUAAAGCAACGAUGAAGGUAACUAUAAGGAGAGGGCUCCUGGGAAUCGAGCAAGCAGAUGUUUUUUGCAACCUUGCCCUUCAGAUUAGCUUAAAAUGCUUUUCAGAAUAUUUCUUGCCAUCAUUUCUUGCAGUCAUUUAAAACGAUUUGUUAUUUUUGAGCAAUCUUCUGCUACGUUUGAUGAAAUGGAACUCAGUAUUUUAUGAGGCCCCCAGAUCUCGAGGUCUUUGCCCCUCUCGGCGGCACUGGUCACACGGACAACACCCAAAGCCCACUAUAUUUUCAGGUUUUCUGAGAAAGGCUUUCACUGCUUCAGAGUAUUGUCCGGAAGAACGAUAGACACUUUGCCAGACUUUGUGUUCUAGAGACAAUUCCCAGCUUUUUCAUGCUUCUCUCGUUUGAUUUAGAUUAAGAAAAGAUAACUUUUAUUUUCAAGGUCUUCUAUUUAUGGACUUAAGGUCAGCUUGAUAUUUUGAUGCUGUCCCUGCCACUGAAAUUAGGGGCGUUUAUCUUUGGUUUUUGAACUAAAUCAUUGUAUUAUAUCCUUUUUAACUUUUAAAACUUUUAUAUACAAUUAGUAUGGCGAAUCAUUCAAACAUUAUACAUACACAUACACAAAUAGAUAAAUAAUCAAUUCAUUCUUGGUCAAUAUACACAGAAAUUUUACCAUAUUAUAGAAAACAUAUUUUAACUCGUGUACUGAAAUUAAUCUACACAUUCAGCCUUUGUUUAGUACCAAACUCUAACCCAAAGAAGGUUUACAACACCACUAUUAUGACUUGACCAGAAUUCCUUGGAAGUAUCAAUAAGAAACACCUGGAUGGCAGGCAUGCCCAUUUUUUUACCCGUGACACCCUUUGCUUACAGUUACUAAAGUCAUUUUACCCUGAAUGUCAUAGCUUGAUUGACAAGUGGUUCAGUUAAUGUGGAAAGAAUAUGUAGAAAUAUUUACUUUCUGAAUUCGUUGAGACAGCUUUUGGCACAAUUUUUUGGAAUUUCUUAAUUCAAUCAGGCAAGAGAGACUUGACCAUUUCACAGGAUAAAAAAUUCUGUACCCAAGAAAAUAGUAAUUACGUGGUAGCGACGUUUGAUUCAAUGAAGAUCUAGUUGAUUAGAUUCUUUAUUAGAGAUUAAAUAUUAGAUAUUUGAUUUGAUAUAGAGUAUUCGAAAAGCGGAUGGCUCAAAGUGUCCUUUAGGCUUCCUGUUUCUCCACCUUUCUUGAUAGCUAAACUAUUCGUUUUUUACAUUCACCAGCACAUUUCUUUACUAGUAUGAAAAAUAACAAUAACAGACCCAGAACAAGAUGAUUGCAAUUAUCAAAGUUUUUUUCCUGGUGAAAGACCAUGCUAAUUACGAAUUACUACUUUUCUUUUGAUCAAUAUUUUGCUCUGUUUCUUUUCUAAUGCAAUUAACAGCUACAUAUUUUCAUUUCAGUUUAUUUUCUUCAGACGUUUCAAAUAUAAAGGGUAAUAGUUGUGCAAAACUACUAAUACUAAUUGUAAGAAGAGAUGAAUUUGAUGUUCCAAUAGUUCAUGUUUGGGGGAGUUUUGCAAAUUUUGCUUUACUAUCUCAUCGAUAGGUUAUUCUUGCUGUCAGUUGGAAGGGUGGUCGAUUUGAUUUCGCUUCAAUAAAUUUGGAGUAUCGUUCCCAUUGGCUUAACGGAAACACCCUUGGUCCUUGGGCAAAAAAUUGAGACUAUCUACGGAUUGCUAGAAAAUGACAUAAUGGUGUUAAACAGAAAAAGAUAUAUAGAAGCUUCAGUUAAAGAACUUUUAAAAUUUUUGAAAAGGAAAUUUUAAAAUUUUUGAAAAUAAGCUGGGCUUGAAGGAAGUUUUAAGCAAAUUGAUAUGACAAUAAUUUUGAGGUCCCUUUCGAUCGGGGGCCUUUGGUUAUCAAACUAACAUGUAAUCCUCUCCACUGCGUUACGCCAUUGAUCGUUCCACACCUUUGCACCCAAGAAAAAGUAUCUUGCAAUUAACUAUCGUAGUUUCGAAAAAAUGUUUUUAGCUACUCUCUGUUUAAGUCUGUGAUCUGAGAUCUCCUCGUAAACUCUCCUUACAAACUUCACGGUCAUCAUGCUAAUUCUCUAGAAUACGCGGUUAAGCCCGAUAAUAUUUGACUUUACCGAGAGGCUUAAUAUGCGAGAAAGGCCUAAUACUGUGUCAUCUUAUCCACUAAUCACGGUCUUGUAAAUUCAGACAGCGCUAUUUGAAACUCCAGGAAAAGCGUCUAUAGGAUACUCCCUGAAAGAUGGAAUAACAGAUAUCGACAAAUCCGAUUUCAAAUUAUCUUACAUUCCGAUAGAAAUUCAUCUUUCUUGAAACAAAGCAUAGGCUGAAAAAAUCAGACUUGGGAAACGAUAACACUUACACCGAAAUGAAAAAGUUUGACACAGCCUUAAAAAUGAACUAGCAUUGGUGGAAACCAUUUUAAGUGGCCUAAGCAACUUGCCUACCGUCAUAAAAUAAUGGAAAGUUAAGACAAGGUCUAGACAUGAUGAUCUUCUCCUCACUUUUUAAGUAUCCUGCGCACCUUCAGUGCUCGACAUUCUCUCUUACAUUGACAAAUGCUCCAUUCAGGAGCCAUUUAGCUUUCAGAGAAUCACAGCAUUAGAUGCAUGCACCUAAAGAUUUUACGUUGCCCUUGAAACAAUUGCCCUUCCCAACGCUACAGAUCACAACAGUUGUUUUUAUUAGUGGUGGAACUGUAACUUAAUAUUGCUACAUACGACAUGAGUUUCUUUCAAAGUAGCAUCAACGCAAGAAGCCAUCUUUUAGCUGCAUUUGCAGCCAGUUAGAUUAACAUAAAGAGAUGUAUUUGAAGGAAAACUGCUUUUAACUUUUAACUUGCUAUCAAGAUUUUUCUUCAUACAUAAUUUCACAAGGCUUCUAACAAUGUCAAUGAACUAAGAUUCAAUAAGCAGCAUACAUAGUAAACUCUUCCCUUACUACAAUUUCUAUUUGCCUAGCGUCUAAUUUUGUACAUUAAGUGUCACCUAUCUUUAUAUAUAAAGCUAAUUGUCAUGGAUACUCUAAAAUAAAAGUCAAAACCCCUAUUAUUGCUUCGUCGGCAGCAAUAAAUCAAAUGCAACGAGAACUGCUUAAAUUUCAACCACUUUAAUUCACAACUACAUGAACAGAGUCAACAAUCUAACGAACUAUGCUAUAUCAACAAAAGCAUGAAUGGAUGCGGGG
This is a long non-coding RNA of Rhopilema esculentum, 4228 nucleotides long. RefSeq lists it as uncharacterized. The record is from RefSeq and is a predicted model, not a curated record. NCBI's taxonomy places the organism in Eukaryota, Metazoa, Cnidaria, Scyphozoa, Rhizostomeae, Rhizostomatidae.